CUGCAUGUAGAAAUGUCUGCUCCUCACUCUUACAGGGACAGAAACUUGCUGUAUUUAAAAAGAAAUUUUUAGAGCUGCCCAUCUUAAAAGUUGUAUAACUGUUAUAUAUUUGCUACUAAA
Small nucleolar RNA from Perognathus longimembris pacificus (Pacific pocket mouse), 120 nucleotides. RefSeq annotates it as small nucleolar RNA U109. The transcript has a single exon. Lineage: Eukaryota; Metazoa; Chordata; Mammalia; Rodentia; Heteromyidae. The record is from RefSeq and is a predicted model, not a curated record.